GCGCUGGUUUUACUGAAGUUGUGGCCAACAAACCUCAUAACUCAGUCAGACCACGCCA
Molecule: microRNA precursor, 58 nt
Filed under: Capitella teleta
Lineage: Eukaryota; Metazoa; Annelida; Polychaeta; Capitellidae
Description: Cte-Mir-2685-P1_pre stem-loop
Source: RNAcentral